RNAcentral lists this ribosomal RNA (1061 nucleotides) under uncultured Gemmatimonadota bacterium. Its description in RNAcentral is "bacterial SSU rRNA". It matches the Rfam family "Bacterial small subunit ribosomal RNA", at positions 335 to 1394 of the family's 1533-position model. Lineage: Bacteria; Pseudomonadati; Gemmatimonadota. The record is from RNAcentral.
AUUCCUACGGGAGGCAGCAGUGGGGAAUCUUGCGCAAUGGCCGAGAGGCUGACGCAGCGACGCCGCGUGGGGGAUGAAGCAUUUCGGUGUGUAAACCCCUGUUGCUCGGGACGAACGAUCCUUUUCGAGGGAUGUGACGGUACCGAGUGAGGAAGCACCGGCUAACUCCGUGCCAGCAGCCGCGGUAAUACGGAGGGCGCGAGCGUUGUCUGGAAUCACUGGGCGUAAAGGGCGCGUAGGUGGUUGGAUGCGCCGGUGGUGAAAGCGCAGGGCUCAACCCUGCGUCGGCCAUCGGGACGGUCCGACUGGAGCACUGUAGAGGCAGGUGGAAUUCCGGGUGUAGCGGUGGAAUGCGUAGAGAUCCGGAAGAACACCGGUGGCGAAGGCGGCCUGCUGGGCAGUUGCUGACACUGAGGCGCGACAGCGUGGGGAGCAAACAGGAUUAGAUACCCUGGUAGUCCACGCCGUAAACGAUGGGCACUAGGUGCUUGGGGGAGCGACCCCCUGAGUGCCGACGCUAACGCAUUAAGUGCCCCGCCUGGGGAGUACGACCGCAAGGUAGAAACUCAAAGGAAUUGACGGGGGCCCGCACAAGCGGUGGAGCAUGUGGUUUAAUUCGACGCAACGCGAAGAACCUUACCUAGGCUUGACAUGGCCGUGAACUCGGUGGGAAACCGCCGGGGUCCUUCGGGACGCGGUCACAGGUGCUGCAUGGCUGUCGUCAGCUCGUGUCGUGAGGUGUUGGGUUAAGUCCCGCAACGAGCGCAACCCUCGUCGCUAGUUACCAGCGCGUCAUGGCGGGGACUCUAGCGAGACUGCCGGUGCCAAACCGGAGGAAGGUGGGGACGACGUCAAGUCAUCAUGGUCCUUACGUCUAGGGCUACACACGUGCUACAAUGGCCAGGCUAAAGGGUCGCGAACGCGCAAGCGGGAGCCAAUCCCCAAAACUGGCCUCAGUUCGGAUUGUCGUCUGCAACUCGACGGCAUGAAGCUGGAAUCGCUAGUAAUCGUGGAUCAGCUACGCCACGGUGAAUACGUUCCCGGGCCUUGUACACACCGCC